RNAcentral lists this ribosomal RNA (252 nucleotides) under uncultured prokaryote. RNAcentral describes it as "partial 16S rRNA". It matches the Rfam family "Archaeal small subunit ribosomal RNA", at positions 475 to 726 of the family's 1478-position model. The record is from RNAcentral.
ACCGGCAGCUCAAGUGGUGGCCAUUAUUAUUGGGCCUAAAGCGUUCGUAGCCGGUUUGAUAAGUCUCUGGUGAAAUCCCGCAGCUUAACUGUGGGACUUGCUGGAGAUACUAUCAGACUUGAGGUCGGGAGAGGUUAGGGGUACUCCCAGGGAGGGGGUGAAAUGCUAUAAUCCUAGGAGGACCACCGACGGCGAGGGCGCCUAACUGGAUCAAACCUGACGGUGAGUAGCGAAAGCGAGUGGGUCGAUAGU